CAGUAGCCACGGUAAUACGAAGGGGGCUAGCGUUGUUCGGAUUUACUGGGCGUAAAGGGCGCGUAGGCGGACUGAUAAGUCAGGGGUGAAAUCCCAAGGCUCAACCUUGGAACUGCCUUUGAUACUGUUUGUCUUGAGUUCGAGAGAGGUAAGUGGAACUGCGAGUGUAGAGGUGAAAUUCGUAGAUAUUCGCAAGAACACCAGUGGCGAAGGCGGCUUACUGGCUCGAAACUGACGCUGAGGCGCGAAAGCGUGGGGAGCAAACAGGAUUAGAUACCCCUGUAGUCCCUGUCUCUUAUAC
RNAcentral lists this ribosomal RNA (301 nucleotides) under uncultured bacterium. RNAcentral describes it as "partial 16S ribosomal RNA". It matches the Rfam family "Bacterial small subunit ribosomal RNA", at positions 509 to 807 of the family's 1533-position model. The record is from RNAcentral.